Molecule: ribosomal RNA, 468 nt
Filed under: uncultured bacterium
Lineage: Bacteria
Description: partial 16S ribosomal RNA
Rfam family: Bacterial small subunit ribosomal RNA
Source: RNAcentral
GACGAACGCUGGCGGCGUGCUUAACACAUGCAAGUCGAACGGACAGGCCCUGCUUUUGUUGGUUUCUCGAUUGGCGCACGGGUGAGUAACACGUGAGUAACCUGCCCUUGACUUUCGGAUAACUUCUGGAAACUGCGGCUAAUACCGGAUAUGAUCUCCUGCUGCAUGGUGGGGGUUGGAAAGUUUCGGCGGUUGGGGAUGGACUCGCGGCUUAUCAGCUUGUUUGUCGGGUUGUUGCUUACCAAGGCUUUGACGGGUAGCCGGCCUGAGAGGGGUGCCGGCCACAAUGGGACUGAGAUACGGCCCAGACGGCUACGGGAGGCAGCAGGGGGGAAUAUUGCACAAUGGGCGGAAGCGUGAGGCAGAAACGCCGGGUGCGGGAUGACGGGCUUCGGGUGGAAAACAGCUUUCGCCGGUGACGAAGAGGGAGUGACGGUAAUGGGUAAAGAAGCACCGGCUAACUACGUG